This is a long non-coding RNA of Pseudophryne corroboree (corroboree frog), 567 nucleotides long. RefSeq lists it as uncharacterized. The transcript has 3 exons. The record is from RefSeq and is a predicted model, not a curated record. NCBI's taxonomy places the organism in Eukaryota, Metazoa, Chordata, Amphibia, Anura, Myobatrachidae.
ACCAGUCACUUCCAAAUCCAAUAGCAUGGUCCCACUUAUACACACAAAACCACAUUUCUUUAGAGCUGAAUGCCUCCUAUAGGGCUGCAAUGCAACCCGUCGCCACCAUGGGAAGAUCCUUUCUAUUGAAAGCACAGGGGAGGGGAGGGGGUGUUCUGAUAAGGAGUAGAAGUGUCUCAGGACUAGAGGCAGAGUCAUUUUAGUAUGCCUGGCUGUUCACCAUAUUACCCAUCUGCCACUCCAAAGUCAACAGUGGUUUUACCAGCUCUCCAAUUUUCCACGGAUCACAAUAAAGAUUUUCAUUAUGCAUCCCUGCCCCGGGGGACAAUUGUCAUUACAAGGAAGGGAUGAUUGGACCUGACAAGCGUCUUCUAGUGGGACUGUAACUAACAAGAGAAAACCUUCAAUUACUCAAUGACAUAAUGUUAGCUUUCCAAAUCCCAGCCUUAGUCAUUUUUCAUGCCACUAUACACAGAAAUGAAGUGUUGAAAACACAGCAGUGUUAUUUUUGCAAAUAAUUUACGUUGACUAAUACACGUUUUUCCCUAUAAUAUAAUAUUAUCUUUC